This 4378-nucleotide long non-coding RNA is filed under the name Homo sapiens (human). RNAcentral describes it as "HSALNT0365438". The record is from RNAcentral. Lineage: Eukaryota; Metazoa; Chordata; Mammalia; Primates; Hominidae.
CCUGAAAGUUUAUGGAUCGGUGAGGCCUUGUCUCCGCAUAAGCAUGUUUUCUGGACUUUGGCUGAAGCUAAAUUCCUGACUUCUGAAAGAGGGGUGGGUGUGGACUUCCAGCAGGAAUAGCCAGUGGGAAGGAAGUAAUAUUCAUUAAGAGUGUCUCAUGCAAGCAGUGCGGGGCUAAGCAUGCUCAGUGUAAAUUCUCCUGGAGCCUGUCAAGCUAUGUUUGAACUCGUUCCAGGAUAGUGGAUUUACUUUUUUUUCCCCACCAGGAAGAAUACUCGAUUAGACUGCAUUUUGCCUUGCUUUUCCUUCUCCCUUUCUCUCUCUUUCUUUCUUUCUUUCUUUCUUUCUUUCUUUCUUUCUUUCUUUCUUUCUUUCUUUCUUUCUUUCUUUCUUUUUCUUUCUCUCUCUCUCUCUCUUUCUUUCUUUCCUUUCUUUUCUUUCUUUCCUCUUUCUCUUUCCUUCUUUCUUUUUUUCUUCUUUCUUUCCUUCCUUCCUUCCAUCUUUCUUUUCUUUCUUUCCAUUUUUUUUUUCCUCCAGAAGAAUGGAAACAGUAUUCUUUUCCGAUCAGUUCAGUAAUACAAUGUCCUUCAGUGUCCAUAUGAGCAUUUCAGUGGAGAAGAAAAGAAACUUUGCUACCUGGGAACUGAAGACUACUUAGUGAAGAUCCCGGUGUUACACAUCCAAUCGUUCACCUCCUUCCAAGACUAUGACAUUCCAGGAAACCUUCACUGCUAAGAGGAACUAAGAUCUAGAGUAUCUCCUCGAGGAAGUACAACUGGUGGGGAGCAGUAUGUGUCCAGAGCUCUAGAGGGACCGAAAGGCCAAGUGUCCACGGUGGCAAGAGAAUCCAGGAGACUGGACCAUCAAGUCUUUUACUCAGAGACUGGAGACCACGCCUUACCUCUCGGAACAGCCCUGUGUGAACCUCCGACUUUAUGAUACGUUGUGAUUGUGAUACAGGACUUCCCAUGCAGCGCGUAAGCCAUGCAGGCUUAUUACUCACACCACACUCACCUGGACCCAGAGACCUCCAGGCACUGAGGACUGCGUCUCCCGGAAGUAUUUCCCUGAGAAAUUGCAGAGGACCUCAGUCCUGCAACUCACACAGAGGCUGUUCUUCGUGGCCGGAACCGGACCCCACGCCCUCUGGGGCACAUCCCUGAGUGCGAGCACUCUUCUCUCGCCCUCCUCCCACCCAGGCACCGUCCCAACUGGGCACUGCCUUGCUAUGCCCCACAUCUCCCACAAGGGGGAGCCGCCGGAGGGCAGCUGGGGCUGCGGAAUUUUGGAAGCGCAGAAGUUUUCUCCUCCUGUCCUGUAACUGGUUUUCACUCACUCAACUGAGAGAUUUCUUUGUUGCAAUGAUGGGGUCUAAGAUAACACUUCUGGAGGCUGCAGGCGAGAAACACAGCUGAUAUCAUCUUUUAUUGUGUGUUGUUAUUUGCCUAGCAUUAUAAAUUAAGGAGGAAUAGUAACAAAGAGCUUGAAGACAUGCACAGCUCACAGGCCCCGGGUGGAGGCUGGCGACAUCAGACAGACAGAACCAAGACAUCUGAGGGGCAACCAGGAGGUGCGUGUGGCUGCAGAGCACACAGACUUGUCUUUGGACAAAAUUGAGAAGAACUCAUAAACUUGGCUUCCUCGCUUCUGCUCCUCAGACGCGCGUGGAUGAUUUGAAGAUAUUAGCCUAACAAGAUGGAAGCAGGUUUAAAAUUUUACAUAAGAAGUUACCUUUUUCAGUUGUGUUGAUGUUCCUUUCAGCUGGUCCUAUAGUACCCCUCCUCAGGAAUGUCUCCCCAGUGCAAGGACAAAGACUGAAGAGACUGCUAUAUUGAUGGACUCUCAAGCCAACUAUGAAGUUGAAACAAAGAAAGUGAUCACCUGAAGACACCUCCUCUGCUAAGAAACACCCCCAAAUUGUGCAGCUUCUGCCACUAGAACUCUCAGAACAAGAGACAAUCUUUUCAAGAAACAGAAAAACUCAAUAAUGACAUCUAGAUUUUCAUGAGCCAAGAACUUUCCCUUCCUCAUGUGUAUUCCUCUGUUUGUACUUAAAUUCAUGUGACAUUCAUUUUUUUCCUAGUAUGGAUAUGCUUAUUAAUGCACUUGUUUCAAAAUCCCAAAUUGCACAAAUGUGUUAAUAUUUUAAGAAACAAAAUGAAUCCUACAAGGAGAAUGAUUUUUAGCCACACAUAGGGUUGGAUCUUGAGAGUGACCUACAGAAUAAAAGUACUUUUAAAAUAAAGUAGUCAGAGGCUAUUCAAAGGGUAAAAUAAUCAUAGUACCACAUUGGUCCACUUGACACUAACCAAUCGAUCAUUUUUUUUUAAUCAAGAAAGCUAGAUUCUAUCAGAUAAAAUCACUGCUUCUAAAGAGUUUAAAUCUAGUUAGAAAAAGUUAUAGAAAUGUUUGCAAAGAUAAGUAACAGAUAGAGUCAGUAGAGGAUAAGAUCAAAAACAAAACCAAGCAAAAGAUGAGUUCAGGGGAGUUUGCCAUCAAGUUGGCAAAACUGACUUACUUAGGGAAGAAAGUUAUAAAACAGGAAAAUAUGAGAUGAACCUUGAGUGAUGUGGAAGAUUUAGAUAAAUGGAAAGGAAGGAGAAAAUGGAGUUCUUUAGGUGGUUGUAAUUGGAGGAGGAAAUGAAUACACACAUCUUGUUGACUUAAACCCAGACAUUCAGCAGCUCUCUAUACAUAUCUGGAAAAGACUGCACAGUCACCUCCUGUCUCUCACCCCAGGUAUUACUUAGAAUUAUUAUCAUAUUUCCCUUCCUUUAAAGUAAGUAAGGGUGAUUGGUGACAAUAUGGAGAACUAUGAUUUUUCCAUUAACCUAAUAAUAAUUGGUAUUUAUUGAGUUCUGUUAAGCAUUUUACAUAUUAACUCACUUAAGCCUUUCAACAGCCUUGCAAAAUAGGUAUUAUUAUCCCCAUUUUACAGGCAAGAAAACUGAGGUUUAAGUAACUUGCCGAAGUGCCAUAUACAGGGCUCACAUUCAGUAUUGCAGUUGCAAAGCUCAUGAUCUAUAGUGCCAAGUUGCAAUAUUGUAGUCAAUGUCACAAUUAUUACCCCUUUUUAUAUUCCUUGAUAUUUUUCCAUGGCAAACAAUUAGCUAUUUCAUUUAAUAAUCACCUAAAACUUUUCAGUCUUCUGAUUAAAAUUACGCUGGAGUGAUAGAAUGUAUUUUCAUGAUAGAAAUUGGGAAAAAAAAUGGGGAAUGAAGUUUAUCAGCAUUUCAGACUUGUUUUUUUUUUUUUUUUUUGCAAGACUUUGAUGAGAUUGUUCACUUUUGUCUAUGUAAAAUCCCAAAUCCUUGAGAAUAAAAAAGGGGGAGGUUUAAGUCACUUGUUGCAAUGCCCUUUUUAAUAGAGGCAAUAAAUCUAAAGGCCAUAAAUUUAGAGUGACUUACAGAAGAUCGAACUUUGGAGUGUGGCAGAGUAAGGGAUGGAAACCGGGCCCUCCAGUUCACUAUCAGUAGCUUUUGCACUGGUCUGCCCUUCCUAAAUUAAGUAUGCACUUCAAUUUGAUGAGUGGAAACAGUCUAUCUGGGCAGUAACCAGGGAGCUUUGUGCCUAGUAGAUUGCUUCUGUUCUGCACUUCUUUGGUUUCCCACCUCAAUGUAAAAAAUAGCUAGCAAUGAAGUCCAGAAGUUGUCAAUGGUUCAUCCCCAGAAGAAUGCAUAAUGUCCAAAGUUGUAUGUGUAUGAUGUCUUCAAUGGUAUUAAGUUAUUUCAAAUUCUUAGUUCACCUACAUAAAUCAUUUCUAACAAGCAUCUUCUUAACCAACUUUAUGCACAGUGUAUGUUUGUAAGUGCUUCUGCACGAAUGUUUAUACAUGACUGUUUCCAUAGUACUUAUGUUUUUAAAAAUAUUCAGUCAUUUCCUACUAUAAUCCUCAUGUAUCCAUGUAACUGACUCAAAAAUACUUCAGCCACAGAAAGCUAAAACUGAGCAAAUCUCAUUCUUCUUUUCCAUCCCCUUUGCAUGUGGCUGGCAUUUAGUAAUGAUUAAUAAUAUGGCCAGCUGAAUAACAGAGGUUUGAGACACAAUUCUUUCUCAAAGGAGUCAGCUAAGCUGGGUCUACUUAUGGACAAACAUCUAAAUGUGUGGAAGUAUCUGAUAUUUGACAAUGGUAAAUUUCCACUUAGCUAGCUAGCAUUGUCAGACUUCAAUCUCCUCAUGGCUCUGGCCGUCCUGUUUUAAGCAUGAUAAUUGUUGGCCACAUCUCACAUAGUUCUCAUUGAGUGAGUUCAUAAAUAAACAGGGUUUUUUUUUUUUUUUAAAGAGCAGCCAAGCACAAAGUGUGACUUUGUUGACAUUUUAUGUGACUUUGUCAUAUGUUCCUAACCCCCAAUAAAAGCAAUGUUGCAUCAACUGUGAA